This is a long non-coding RNA of Cryptomeria japonica (Japanese cedar), 1227 nucleotides long. RefSeq lists it as uncharacterized. The transcript is spliced from 6 exons. NCBI's taxonomy places the organism in Eukaryota, Viridiplantae, Streptophyta, Pinopsida, Cupressales, Cupressaceae. The record is from RefSeq and is a predicted model, not a curated record.
UGCAAGCGGUACUGCAGGAGGUAGCAUACGGCAGAAGAAUGGGUAGGGGAUCGGGGGUGCAAAUUUUCCCCACCAUAGCCAGUGCCGUAGAGGAAUGGUCAAAGUGAAUUUUUGGCAUGCUAUGGUUAUUUUGUUUUUGAGCUAUUAAUUGAUCCUCUCAUUUUUUUGCUCAUUGUAAGGUUUUGUAAAUUUGUUCAGCAAACUCAACCCAUUCUUUCUCCAAUUUAUGCAGGAUCUUGGAUGAAAUUCGUAAGUAUCAGAAGAGCACUAAUAUUGUGAUUAGAAAGCUACCUUUCCAGAGAUUGGUUCAAGAAAUUUCAUAAGAUUUAAGCAGGAGUUGAUCCACUGCCCUUUAGCCUACAUGGAGUUAAGGAGAAUGUUAUAUUCCUAAGGGAAGUCCAUCAUGCACAUGAAAUACAGAGCAAGCUUCUCGUAAAUUUAAUGCUGUCAAAUGUUCCUGUGAAAGCAGCUGCUCUGUAUAUAUCUCAGGUUUGAAAUGUGAAAUACGACCAUUGACCAUUCAUGUCGACUACAUUCCUCAUCGAGUUAAUUUGGUUGCGUUACAAGGGGGCAAUUAUGCUGAGCUUCUUAAUCUAAUUUCAUGGAAGGUUACAAGAGAGAUAUGAAGAAUAUAAGAUGCUUCUUAUUCGGUUGAAAAACAUUGCUGGGCAAUUGCAUCUACGUUCAUUAUACCUCUUAGAAUGACUUAUGUUAGUGGAUUUAUUCACCAUUCGCUAUCUUGAGGUCUACAUUCUUGAAUUAUAAGCUCAUCCUAUCUUGGGACUGCUAUUAUUGUUCUAUGACUUCUACAAAAUUGAGGGCCAGACUUAUCAUUUGUGUAAAUGAGAAUCUUUCACAUAACCUAUUGUUACUCUUUCCUAGACUCUGGCCAGCUCUUCUCAUUGUAACCUUUAGGUUUGCAAGCUUUAUGAUCUCCUUAUGUCAACAUGUGUGAGAGUCUUAACAGUAAUGGCUGCCCCUUUUUGCCUUUGCAAAUUGUGAGGGUAUGAUUGUCCUCUUUGUGGACUAGUUACCAUACUUUAUCCCUAUCAUUAAACAAUAUGUGGCCUCUCAUAGAAAAAGUAAACAAAACCCUUCUCCCAUUGAGAUGCAUAUUCAUUAUUGUCUUGUAGAUAUUUUAGCUGUGUAGAGUUGGUCAUUGGUCAUUGGUCAUUGAAAUCCUCUCUUGUAGAUAUUUUAAAUAGUGAUGUGAUGUCCUUAAACAUU